GUUUUCAUCGUGUAGUGGUUAUCACGGUUGCCUCACACGCAACAGUCCCUGGUUCGAAACCGGGUGGAAACA
Non-coding RNA from Phycodurus eques (leafy seadragon), 72 nucleotides. The record is from the annotation of a RefSeq genome assembly. Lineage: Eukaryota; Metazoa; Chordata; Actinopteri; Syngnathiformes; Syngnathidae.